This 947-nucleotide long non-coding RNA is filed under the name Homo sapiens (human). RNAcentral describes it as "non-protein coding lnc-SFTPA2-1:2". The record is from RNAcentral. Lineage: Eukaryota; Metazoa; Chordata; Mammalia; Primates; Hominidae.
GCCCAAUGAAGCAUGAAUUAGGGACAUACUGAAAAUGGGUAAGGAAAUUGUCAACUCAGAACCCAGCAGGCAUUAAGUAAAAGAGGAGGAAGCAUUACAGCAACAGUUUUGAUCAUACUGUACUUUUAUAGCCAUGUGAAAUACAUUUUCUAUGUAUAGAUAGAUUGUGUAAGGGUACAAUUGUGAGGACAACAGGAACAUGGCAGAUUAUUUAAAAUCAUACUAAAGAUGAUGCUGUGUCUGAUGAAAGUGAUUCUAAACCAUAGAAAAACGAUUCAAGACAGACAAGAGCUGCAGCAGUGGGUAGAGGACUCCUACAGAUGAGAGAUCGCCCCUUCUGCUGCAAGAAAGGCCUCAACAACUGGGUAAGUUUGUUCAUUUUUCCCUUGCUUUUCGGCCAAGUCGGGACAUGGAUGUAUUUUUCUCCCCACAGCUCUGUGCUCAAGCCUUGCAGAGGGAGAUGGCAGAGAGGAAGGCUGCCUGCAAGCAGCACAGACAGGAAAUGAUGGAAAAGCAGGGAGUGCUGGAGAGACACAUGAGUCAGGAGGCAGCCCAGGGACAGCUAGGGCUAGAGAACCCUUUCUGGAGAGGUAGGAGCUCUCUGGGAAGGCACCCGCUUAACUUCUGCUCCACAAUCCACACCCCUGCUUCUCCUUUCUGGGGUGAGGGCUUGGGUUGGGUUAUUGUUAUGUUUCCUGGAAACAGUUCCAAGCACUUACUAAAGAGAACAGUUAUCCCGCUGGGUGGCAGGACCGUUUUUCUCACGUGCCACAGCUGAAUGACUCUUGGCUGGUCCCCUGUGAAUAGCGGAGCACAGGCCCCUCCACUGACUGUGGACAUCAUUCCACCCUGAUGUCUUGGUUACUUUUAACUGAGGGGAUGAGCCUAGAAGGCAAAUGGGUCAGCUCCCCUUCCAACCUUGAGUCAGUGGGAAGGCUUUAUUUUUU